GGUGAGGCCCGCCGCCCAGUGCUUCCUCCUCCUCAGUCCGGUCCCGAUCCGCGGCGAGGUCGUCGUCUUCCCUGCCGGCGUUCGUCAGGGGGCUGUUGUUGCGUGUACGUGCAGAGUACGAGUGUUAGUUGUUGCUGUUAGAGGUAGGGGUGGUAACAGGGGCUUCCUCCUUCCCUCGACGGUAGCGCGUGACCAGAGGGACCCCCCCCCC
This 211-nucleotide long non-coding RNA is filed under the name Hordeum vulgare. Its description in RNAcentral is "long non-coding RNA (HVUL_LNC007934)". Lineage: Eukaryota; Viridiplantae; Streptophyta; Magnoliopsida; Poales; Poaceae. The record is from RNAcentral.